Molecule: ribosomal RNA, 359 nt
Filed under: uncultured bacterium
Lineage: Bacteria
Description: bacterial SSU rRNA
Rfam family: Bacterial small subunit ribosomal RNA
Source: RNAcentral
AACGAACGCUGGCGGCAUGCCUAACACAUGCAAGUCGAACGAGACCUUCGGGUCUAGUGGCGCACGGGUGCGUAACGCGUGGGAACCUGCCUUUAGGUUCGGAAUAACUCAGAGAAAUUUGAGCUAAUACCGGAUAAUGUCUUCGGACCAAAGAUUUAUCGCCUUUAGAUGGGCCCGCGUUGGAUUAGCUAGUUGGUGGGGUAAAGGCCUACCAAGGCGACGAUCCAUAGCUGGUCUGAGAGGAUGAUCAGCCACACUGGGACUGAGACACGGCCCAGACUCCUACGGGAGGCAGCAGUGGGGAAUAUUGGACAAAUGGGCGAAAGCCUGAUCCAGCAAUGCCGCGUGAGUGAUGAAGG